GCAGCUGUGGCCGAGUGGUUAAGGCGAUGGACUUGAAAUCCGUGGGGUCUCCCGCGUGAGUUCGAAUCCUGCCGGCUGCA
RNAcentral lists this transfer RNA (80 nucleotides) under Trichonephila inaurata madagascariensis. It matches the Rfam family "tRNA". Rfam says of the family: Transfer RNA (tRNA) molecules are approximately 80 nucleotides in length. Their secondary structure includes four short double-helical elements and three loops (D, anti-codon, and T loops). The record is from Rfam by way of RNAcentral. Lineage: Eukaryota; Metazoa; Arthropoda; Arachnida; Araneae; Nephilidae.